Molecule: long non-coding RNA, 385 nt
Organism: Vidua macroura (Pin-tailed whydah)
Lineage: Eukaryota; Metazoa; Chordata; Aves; Passeriformes; Viduidae
Exons: 3
Source: RefSeq, a predicted model, not a curated record
AACAGAAAUGGAUUAAUUAGUGAUGAGGUUAUGACUAAAUCCCUGCACAGGACUCCCAAGAAGAGGAAGCAACAGAAACUGAAAUCAACUUUCAAUUAAGAUGGGGUUGGAGAUGAAGUGUGAGGAUCCACUGGAGGGCACAUUUCUUUGUAGGAUUAUGGGGAAUAAUUCCCUGAUCCUGUGAGCUGGAUCUCUGAGGAGACAGCAGAGGAAAGCAGCAAAAGAGAACAGGAAAGAGAAAAAGGAAGAGCCGCCAAAGGUUUUUGCUGUUGCUUUGGAGGCACACGGAGAAGUAACAGUGGUGGCUCUUGGUGCAGAAAAGGAGCAGGAAAACGAAGCCAAAAGAGGCAGCGGGAAGUUAUCCUGACAGAAGAGUUGAAGGAUG